CCCCCCCCGACUCUGAGAGCCUGAAACAAACACUUGGUUAGUUUUCAGUUUCUCCUUGAUCCGCAAAGCAUCGAGAACAUCACUACUCAUGGAUCCAAGAAGAGGUGUAAGACGAACAGCCUUCCCAAACUCAAUCAGCACUGUUGGUCAGCUCACGUCUGACCUGUGAGCAGAAUCCUGGAGGACAAAACUGUGCCCUGCUCCUGUGUUUCAUGUUCCUCGACCAGACACAAAUAAGAGGCUUCACCAAUAUCUACUCAAGAAACGAGUGAGUCAAGAAACUGAUCCAGAUUGCUCAUGUCUGAACUCCGAUCACACAGGACGUCAAUCAUCGAACCAAGGAACUGUGGUACCUGCUGCACCAGUGAGAUGUCCUAAUCCAACAUGGAGGUCCUAAGCCCCACUGUUGCUAUGGACUCUAAAGUAAGAUUGCGCGGUUAUCCCUAGGGUAACUUACCCUGUUGAUCGAGUUUUCGAAUCAGUAAAGUGAUGUAAUACUUUUGACUGGUAAGUCUUAAUCACUCAGAAGUUGUUUUAUUCCCCGAGGUCACCCCAAUCUAAUUGUUGGCCCAUGGGGCUAUUUGUCAUCUCUGUUGACUGUGUUGGGUUAGUCUCUUUAGGCCAGUUAAAGGGUCAUAGGCUCUUCCUCUUUUUUUAUAUUCCCUCCUCUUCACAGGAAGGUCAAUUUCACCGAUUGGAAGGAAGAGACAGUAAGACCCUCGUGUGGCCUUUCAUACGAGUCCCUAUUUAGGGAACAAGUAUGCAUCAAGGGUCAAGUUCCCAGAUGACCUCCACACUUUCUCUACCAUUCCCAGUGACUGGAACUGUGGUCCCCCAGAGCAGAGACCCAUGGUUUCAUGUAGCCUUUCCUUAAGAGGCUUUUCUUCCCUCCCAGUCCCUCCUCCUACUCCACUUCUUCUUAAGAGACUAUUUGUCCCCCAGUGUCUGUCUUUGAGGAAACUAAUUCAUAAAUUUAUAUAACUAAGGCCGAUUCAUAAAUUCGCAUGUUUGUCACUCUGUGAGCUCAGGUAAUUUAUUUGCACCUCUAUCAGGGUCUAUUUACUCCUUGAUAAAAUAUGGAUAACCAUACUUAAUGAUUACUGUAGGAAAAUCUUGGGUGCUCCUCCAAUUACAGGAGCUUGGUAAAUAGCGAUUUCUAGGUAUUAGUUUAUUCACCACCUUCCCCAGGGCUCUCUGGACUCUGAGGGGUCUGACAGCUUUGUCACAAAGUUUACAAUUCCCCAAAAGACAAAAGGGGCUUUGCACACCUCCACCCCCGUAGGAUCCCCAAGAAUUCCAUAACUCAAGUUCUCAGUGACCAGUAUGAGGACCACUCUUGUAGGCGGUAGAGGAACUGAAUAAAUCUAAGUCCCUGCUUUUAAGGAGUUUACGUUUCAGGGGAAGGAUUUGGAUCAUUAACAAGUCACUACAUAAGGGGAACAGACUUUAAAGAAAACACGGAAAUGCAGGAUAACAAGGAUGGAGAGGAACAAGGAUGGGGCACACUGGUAGUCUAUGUAAGAGACCAGCAAGUUCUCCCUGGUAGGAUGUUUUCCUAGCUUUGAGAUAUAAUCGACCUAUCCUAUUAUGUAAAGUGGAGGUGGGCCACAUGAUAGAAGGUACAUACUGCACAACGAUUACUGCCAUAAGGUUAAUUAGCAAAACUAUCAUCUCCCAUAAUU
Panthera uncia (snow leopard) is the source of this 1682-nucleotide long non-coding RNA. RefSeq lists it as uncharacterized. The record is from RefSeq and is a predicted model, not a curated record. The transcript is spliced from 3 exons. NCBI's taxonomy places the organism in Eukaryota, Metazoa, Chordata, Mammalia, Carnivora, Felidae.